CUGGCUCAGGACGAACGCUGGCGGCGUGCUUAACACAUGCAAGUCGAACGGAAAGGCCCUUCGGGGUACUCGAGUGGCGAACGGGUGAGUAACACGUGGGUGAUCUGCCCUGCACUUUGGGAUAAGCCUGGGAAACUGGGUCUAAUACCGAAUAUGACCACGCGCUUCAUGGUGUGUGGUGGAAAGCUUUUGCGGGUGGGAUGGGC
RNAcentral lists this ribosomal RNA (206 nucleotides) under Mycolicibacterium smegmatis. RNAcentral describes it as "partial 16S ribosomal RNA". It matches the Rfam family "Bacterial small subunit ribosomal RNA", at positions 19 to 230 of the family's 1533-position model. Lineage: Bacteria; Bacillati; Actinomycetota; Actinomycetes; Mycobacteriales; Mycobacteriaceae. The record is from RNAcentral.